This is a long non-coding RNA of Pseudopipra pipra, 2400 nucleotides long. RefSeq lists it as uncharacterized. The transcript is spliced from 4 exons. The record is from RefSeq and is a predicted model, not a curated record. NCBI's taxonomy places the organism in Eukaryota, Metazoa, Chordata, Aves, Passeriformes, Pipridae.
AGAUUGCAAGGACACUUCCUUGCCCCAUGCCAGCCACAUCCCUGCUGAGCUUCUCCCCAGUGUCUCCCAGGCCGUGCAGGAUGUGGGAACCCAGGACACUACAGCCAGAGUGGGGGCAGCCACAGAUCCCACUGCAGCCAGGCAAUAAGAAGCAGUCAGGGCUUGGGAGUGUCUCAGUGCCCCUCAGCAGGACCAGUCAUGCCCCCAUUGCUGCCGGGGGCUGCCUGGAGCCAUCUCUCCAUCCACAGCAUCGGCCGGGAUGGAGCACGGCCCUGGGUUGCCAUACCAACGCAGGUGCUAACGGGUGUUGACUAACUGUGAGCUGAUCGGAUCAGAGAAUGGUAGCGCUGAGUUGCCAUGGCAACCGAGAUGCCAAAUUGGAAAUGGUGUCGAUAGCAAAGGUACUCAAGAGGUGGCAAGUGUGCGCAGGGGGCAGUGCCCGGCCGGAGGCUGCAAGCACCCCAGUGGGCAUCUACCUGCCCAGGCCACCCAUGGCUCCUCCUCCUGGGGUGGUGGGAUGGUUCAGGGCACUGCAGCAGCUCGGCUGUGUCCCACGUGCCAGCCCCAGUGGAUCUCCUCUGGGACAUGGCUGUUGCCUUGUGCCAAAAUCCUUUGCCUAUCUGACUGCAUGGCUCUCAUACAAAUUGGACAGGCUCAGUUAUAGCAAAGCAGCCCUAGUCUGAGCUUCUUGCACAGCGCUGGAACGAGGACUUACGGGCAGGCAGUGGUGUCCUGCCUCCUCUCACUGAGGAUGUUCAAGUCAAGUCCCCAGGCCCCUGCAGCUACAAUGGGCCUGCGUUACAUGAAAUGCCCACGUACGUGCCAUCUCCGCUCGCAGGACAGAAAUCCUCUCUGAAACAUGCAGUCCAGUGCACCUUGUUGGCAGCAGUCAUUGCAGACCUUCACCUCCCACUCCCUUGGGAUUUCUGAUCUGGAAACUCUGCCAGUACACAGCAUGAUGAGCCCCUCAUCGCCAGCUGUGUCCUCCUACCCCAAGCACAGUGGCAGGAACCCGCAUGGACACCCAUGCAGGAGAGCUCCCGUCCAGCUUGGCCUUGCUGGUUGCUAACUGAUGCCCGUGGAAGUUUCAAAGACUGUCAACAACACAGCCCACAGUAUUGCAGGCUGUGCUUCCUGGAACAGUCAGCUGGAUUUGGGAAAGCUACAGGUGAGCAGGAGAGCUGUGUGCACACCAUGCAUCUGAUGUUAAACACGGAUCAGGCUCAUCUGGGGAUUUCAAACCUACUCCAGUUUCCCAAAGAUGUGCCUUUCCUGGGAGGAAAGGCCAUGAAAAUAGAAUAUUAAAAUGUAGUGGUUUGGAGCUACACAUCAUGAGGAGUCCUUUUUCAUCUUCUGGAAAAUUUACUUAUACCAGGAAAAACACUCUCACAAUAACAGCUGCCUAAGUGAAAGCACCGUGGCUGUAUCAUGCUAAAAGCUUUUCAGGGAAAACAGUAAAUAAAUUCCACUCUUCAGAUGUAUCUGGAUGUUAUUCUAACACAGUGCCAGAGUAAUAGGUGAGCCAUCAACAGCUAAAAGGCUGACAAUUGUUACAGAGGAGCGAUACUGCCGAACAGGCUGAAAACACAUCCCGUGCAGAGCUCCAGUGCUUCUGGCAGAGGGGGAUGGGAGAGGGGCUCCCACUCCACUGGCAUGGAAAGGCUGGACACAAAACCACCAUCAAGACUGUCACAGGAGCCCCUGGCUAGUCAGAGCUAGUGUCCAGAAGCAUGACUCUCUGCACCUUCCCACCUGCAUGUUCCCUUUCUAGCUGUAAACAAGACUGGUCCAUGCAGGCCACCAGUGCUGCAGGCUGAGCAGGUGAAGGGGGCAGGUGGGGAGGUGACAGGCUCUCAGGGGACAGCAGAUGCUGGAGCAAGGCCAGUCCCAAAUCCCUCCACAUAGACACUGGGUGGCAAGAUCUUCCCAACUGCAUUAAACCUCUCAGCUGUCCAAAGCACAUUACCCCACUGUUUUACCUACAGCGGGCCAGAGUUUGCAUCAAGCCCCUGGAGCCCAGCAGACACCCUGAGCAGAGCCUGGCCCUCCACUUGCCAUUCCAGGCAGCAAUACACACCACCAUGCCAUGCCAGCCUCCUCUCUGCCUCCUCCCCAUGCAAGUGGGAACCACCUCAGUUCCAGCAUCAGACAAGUUCUGUGGUAACCAAGGCACAUCCCACAGUGACCACAAGGACCACGCAGAUCUGAGACUCCUCCAUUCCCUUCCUGGAGCUGCUCCUCUGCCCCUGGAGGGAGCAAUGCCAGCCAGGCAGCUGCUGAGGGCACAGCUAUUAAUUAUUUGCUUCUGUCAAUUAUUUCAGGGUUUAAGUUCAUUUAUUAUGUAUGCAAAAAUGGUAAUACAUUGGCAUCUGUAUGUCUUUUAGGCAUACAAUAUCCUUA